GCGCCCCUGGCCGUUCUGCAUCAAUGUUUGUCUCUUCUUGGCAGCACCCUCGUUUGUUGAGGAGCUCCUGGACCAGGCAGCUGCUGCAGGACAGUGCGUGACGCUGUCGUGCCGGACGGCCCCGCACUCCUCCCUGCACAUCCGCUGGUUCAGAGAUGGGAUGCCAGUCCACAGCAGCAGUCGGAUCCUCAUCUCGUCCACACUCAAGCACUUCCAGCUGUUAACUAUUCUCUCUGUCAGUGCUGAGGAUUUUGGCAUUUACACCUGCGUGGCCACCAGCUCCCUGGGCUCAGCAUCCACCUCUUGCGUUAUAA
Molecule: long non-coding RNA, 314 nt
Filed under: Gallus gallus (chicken)
Lineage: Eukaryota; Metazoa; Chordata; Aves; Galliformes; Phasianidae
Description: long non-coding RNA NONGGAT003630
Source: RNAcentral